Molecule: ribosomal RNA, 404 nt
Filed under: uncultured bacterium
Lineage: Bacteria
Description: bacterial SSU rRNA
Rfam family: Bacterial small subunit ribosomal RNA
Source: RNAcentral
UGGGGAAUAUUGGACAAUGGGGGCAACCCUGAUCCAGCCAUGCCGCGUGAGUGAUGAAGGCCUUAGGGUUGUAAAGCUCUUUCGUCAGGGAAGAUAAUGACGGUACCUGAAGAAGAAGCCCCGGCUAACUUCGUGCCAGCAGCCGCGGUAAUACGAAGGGGGCUAGCGUUGUUCGGAAUUACUGGGCGUAAAGCGCACGUAGGCGGACUUGUCAGUCAGGGGUGAAAUCCCGAGGCUUAACCUCGGAACUGCCUUUGAUACUGCAAGUCUUGAGGAUGAGAGAGGUGAGUGGAACUGCGAGUGUAGAGGUGAAAUUCGUAGAUAUUCGCAAGAACACCAGUGGCGAAGGCGGCUCACUGGCUCAUUUCUGACGCUGAGGUGCGAAAGCGUGGGGAGCAAACAGG